CUGACGGAGCGACGCCGCGUGAUGGAUGAAGUCCCUCUGGGACGUAAACAUCUUUUAUGAGGGAGAAAGUUUAUUGAUAGUACCUCAAGAAUAAGGGGUUGCUAAACUCGUGCCAGCAGCAGCGGUAAUACGAGUGCCCCAAGCGUUAUCCGGAAUCAUUGGGCGUAAAGGGUGUGUAGGUGGUCCGAUUAGUCAUUCGUCAAAACCCAGGGCUCAACCUUGGAUCUGCGAUUGAAACGGUCGAACUAGAGGAUGAGAGGGGUGAAUGGAACUCAUGGAGUAGGGGUGAAAUCCGUUGAUAUCAUGGGGAACACCAAAAGCGAAGGCAGUUCACUGGCGCAUUCCUGACACUGAAACACGAAAGCGUGGGUAGCGAAUGGGAUUAGAUACCCUAGUAGUCCAC
RNAcentral lists this ribosomal RNA (403 nucleotides) under Klebsiella pneumoniae. RNAcentral describes it as "bacterial SSU rRNA". It matches the Rfam family "Bacterial small subunit ribosomal RNA", at positions 383 to 798 of the family's 1533-position model. The record is from RNAcentral. Lineage: Bacteria; Pseudomonadati; Pseudomonadota; Gammaproteobacteria; Enterobacterales; Enterobacteriaceae.